RNAcentral lists this ribosomal RNA (231 nucleotides) under uncultured Lactobacillus sp. RNAcentral describes it as "partial 16S ribosomal RNA". It matches the Rfam family "Bacterial small subunit ribosomal RNA", at positions 130 to 355 of the family's 1533-position model. The record is from RNAcentral. Lineage: Bacteria; Bacillati; Bacillota; Bacilli; Lactobacillales; Lactobacillaceae.
CCAAGAGAUCGGGAUAACACCUGGAAACAGAUGCUAAUACCGGAUAACAACAGAUGAUGCCUAUCAACUGUUUAAAAGAUGGUUCUGCUAUCACUCUUGGAUGGACCUGCGGUGCAUUAGCUAGUUGGUAGGGUAACGGCCUACCAAGGCGAUGAUGCAUAGCCGAGUUGAGAGACUGAUCGGCCACAUUGGGACUGAGACACGGCCCAAACUCCUACGGGAGGCAGCAGC